CCUGGGAAUGUGUGUGUGUGUGUGUGUGUGUGUGUGUGUGCAUAUAUAUAUAUAUAUACACACACACACACACACACAUAUACAUGCAUAUA
Molecule: non-coding RNA, 92 nt
Organism: Podarcis lilfordi (Lilford's wall lizard)
Lineage: Eukaryota; Metazoa; Chordata; Lepidosauria; Squamata; Lacertidae
Source: the annotation of a GenBank genome assembly